RNAcentral lists this ribosomal RNA (498 nucleotides) under uncultured bacterium. Its description in RNAcentral is "partial 16S ribosomal RNA". It matches the Rfam family "Bacterial small subunit ribosomal RNA", at positions 30 to 523 of the family's 1533-position model. The record is from RNAcentral.
AUUGAACGCUGGCGGCAUGCCUUACACAUGCAAGUCGAACGGUAACGCGGGGCAACCUGGCGACGAGUGGCGAACGGGUGAGUAAUAUAUCGGAACGUGCCCAGUCGUGGGGGAUAACGUAGAGAAAUUUACGCUAAUACCGCAUACGAUCUAUGGAUGAAAGCGGGGGAUCGCAAGACCUCGCGCGAUUGGAGCGGCUGAUAUCAGAUUAGGUUGUUGGUGGGGUAAAAGCCCACCAAGCCGACGAUCUGUAGCUGGUUUGAGAGAACGACCAGCCACACUGGGACUGAGACACGGCCCAGACUCCUACGGGAGGCAGCAGUGGGGAAUUUUGGACAAUGGGCGCAAGCCUGAUCCAGCAAUGCCGCGUGCAGGAAGAAGGCCUUCGGGUUGUAAACUGCUUUUGUACGGAACGAAACAGCUCUUUCUCAUAAAGAGGGCUAAUGACGGUACCGUAAGAAUAAGCACCGGCUAACUACGUGCCAGCCGCCGCGGUAA